UACGUAGGGUGCAAGCGUUGUCCGGAAUUAUUGGGCGUAAAGAGCUCGUAGGCGGCUGUUCAAGUCGAACGUGAAAACUCGGAGCUCAACUCCGAGCCUGCGUUCGAUACUGGACGGCUAGAGUCUGGUAGGGGGAUCUGGAAUUCCUGGUGUAGCGGUGGAAUGCGCAGAUACCAGGAGGAACACCGGUGGCGAAGGCGGUGAUCUGGGCCGACACUGACGCUGUAGAGCGAAAGCGUGGGGAGCGAACAGG
Molecule: ribosomal RNA, 253 nt
Filed under: uncultured bacterium
Lineage: Bacteria
Description: partial 16S ribosomal RNA
Rfam family: Bacterial small subunit ribosomal RNA
Source: RNAcentral